UGACCGCUGGCGGCGUGCCUCAUACAUGCAAGUCGAGCGAACAGAUGAGGAGCUUGCUCCUCUGACGUUAGCGGCGGACGGGUGAGUAACACGUGGAUAACCUACCUAUAAGACUGGGAUAACUUCGGGAAACCGGAGCUAAUACCGGAUAAUAUAUUGAACCGCAUGGUUCAAUAGUGAAAGACGGUUUUGCUGUCACUUAUAGAUGGAUCCGCGCCGCAUUAGCUAGUUGGUAAGGUAACGGCUUACCAAGGCAACGAUGCGUAGCCGACCUGAGAGAGUGAUCGGCCACACUGGAACUGAGACACGGUCCAGACUCCUACGGGAGGCAGCAGUAGGGAAUCUUCCGCAAUGGGCGAAAGCCUGACGGAGCAACGCCGCGUGAGUGAUGAAGGUCUUCGGAUCGUAAAGCUCUGUUAUUAGGGAAGAACAAAUGUGUAAGUAACUAUGCACGUCUUGACGGUACCUAAUCAGAAAGCCACGGCUAACUACGUG
This 495-nucleotide ribosomal RNA is filed under the name uncultured bacterium. Its description in RNAcentral is "partial 16S ribosomal RNA". It matches the Rfam family "Bacterial small subunit ribosomal RNA", at positions 30 to 507 of the family's 1533-position model. The record is from RNAcentral.